GACGAACGCUGGCGGCGUGCUUAACACAUGCAAGUCGAACGGAAAGGCCCUGCUUGCAGGGUGCUCGAGUGGCGAACGGGUGAGUAACACGUGGGUGAUCUGCCCCUUACUUUGGGAUAAGCCUGGGAAACUGGGUCUAAUACUGGAUAGGACCAUGCUGUAGGUGGUGUGGUGGAAAGAUUAGUUUCGGUAAGGGAUGAGCUCGCGGCCUAUCAGCUUGUUGGUGGGGUAAUGGCCUACCAAGGCGUCGACGGGUAGCCGGCCUGAGAGGGUGGACGGCCACAUUGGGACUGAGAUACGGCCCAGACUCCUACGGGAGGCAGCAGUGGGGAAUAUUGCACAAUGGGCGCAAGCCUGAUGCAGCGACGCCGCGUGGGAGAUGACGGCCUUCGGGUUGUAAACUCCUUUCAGCCAUGACGAAGCCCUUGUGGUGACGGUAGUGGUAGAAGAAGCACCGGCUAACUACGUG
Molecule: ribosomal RNA, 469 nt
Filed under: uncultured bacterium
Lineage: Bacteria
Description: partial 16S ribosomal RNA
Rfam family: Bacterial small subunit ribosomal RNA
Source: RNAcentral